UACGGGGGGGGCAAGCGUUGUUCGGAAUUACUGGGCGUAAAGAGCUCGUAGGUGGUUUGUCGCGUUGUUCGUGAAAUCUCACGGCUUAACUGUGAGCGUGCGGGCGAUACGGGCAGACUAGAGUACUGCAGGGGAGACUGGAAUUCCUGGUGUAGCGGUGGAAUGCGCAGAUAUCAGGAGGAACACCGGUGGCGAAGGCGGGUCUCUGGGCAGUAACUGACGCUGAGGCACGAAGGUCAGGGGAGCAAACGGG
RNAcentral lists this ribosomal RNA (253 nucleotides) under uncultured bacterium. RNAcentral describes it as "partial 16S ribosomal RNA". It matches the Rfam family "Bacterial small subunit ribosomal RNA", at positions 524 to 776 of the family's 1533-position model. The record is from RNAcentral.